GUUGGAAAUUAGCAUCGUGGAGGAAGAUCCAUUGUUCAAAUGGAAUUCGGUUAUCUUCCUGUGGCCGAUCGUAGCCCGGAUUUGAACCAAAUCGAGCAUAUAUGAGACACUAUUGGACGUAUAUUACGCGAAAGGACACCCCUAGUUUAAACAUGUCAUGAAAUAAACAAUGCCAUCAGGAAUGGUUUCGGUUACCUCAGCAACA
RNAcentral lists this long non-coding RNA (205 nucleotides) under Mytilus galloprovincialis (Mediterranean mussel). The record is from RNAcentral. Lineage: Eukaryota; Metazoa; Mollusca; Bivalvia; Mytilida; Mytilidae.